UACGGGGGGGGCAAGCGUUGUUCGGAAUUACUGGGCGUAAAGGGCGCGUAGGCGGGUGGGCAAGGCUCUCGUGAAAGCCCACGGCUCAACCGGGGAAUUGCGGGAGAUACUGUCUGUCUUGAGUCCGGGAGAGGAGGGUGGAAUUCCCUGUGUAGCGGUGAAAUGCGUAGAUAUUGGGAGGCACACCGGUGGCGAAGGCGGCUCUCCGGGCCGGUACUGACGCUGAGGCGCGAAAGCUAGGGGAGCAAACGGG
RNAcentral lists this ribosomal RNA (253 nucleotides) under uncultured bacterium. Its description in RNAcentral is "partial 16S ribosomal RNA". It matches the Rfam family "Bacterial small subunit ribosomal RNA", at positions 524 to 776 of the family's 1533-position model. The record is from RNAcentral.